CGGGGCGUAGCUCAGUUUGGCUAGAGCGCACGGUUCGGGAUCGUGAGGUCGGAGGUUCAAAUCCUCUCGCCCCGA
Molecule: transfer RNA, 75 nt
Filed under: Planctomycetaceae bacterium
Lineage: Bacteria; Pseudomonadati; Planctomycetota; Planctomycetia; Planctomycetales; Planctomycetaceae
Also listed under: 2 other names
Description: tRNA-Pro
Rfam family: tRNA
About the family: Transfer RNA (tRNA) molecules are approximately 80 nucleotides in length. Their secondary structure includes four short double-helical elements and three loops (D, anti-codon, and T loops).
Source: RNAcentral